RNAcentral lists this long non-coding RNA (211 nucleotides) under Hordeum vulgare. RNAcentral describes it as "long non-coding RNA (HVUL_LNC009472)". Lineage: Eukaryota; Viridiplantae; Streptophyta; Magnoliopsida; Poales; Poaceae. The record is from RNAcentral.
UCGGGUUAAACUUGAUGAGCCUAGCAUGUACAGACAUGGCCUCGGAACACAAGAGACCAAAAGGUCGAACAUGAGUCAUAUAGUGGAUAUGACCAACAUGGAGAUGUUAACCAUUGAAGCUAACUCAACUCACGUGAUGAUCGUACUUCAGUUAGUGAAUUUCGAUCAUGUGUCAAUCGAAUGACUAGGGGGAUGUCAAUUUGAGUGGGAG